UUGCAAUAAACACGUCCGACCUAUGGGUCUGAUUGGGCGUUGAUUGUGAUACAUCCUAGUUACAAACUAGCUACUGUCAUUGUUCAUUAACAAGAUGAAGGCCACGGUGUUGCUGAUGGUGUUAGUCGCCGCAGUGUUGCUGCUACACUCCGGUGACGCAAGGAGACGUCGUUCAUGGUUUCGGAGGCUAUUUAGUCGAACAAGACCGUGCAAGAUACUGCAUGGCAAAUGUCAUUGGCAACGCCGAGACGUAGGAGACGCUGAAGACGCAGCUAUGCAUCUACACCUCGAUACACACGAUUCACCUGCUCCGUCGGAAUAAGAUGUAUGUAGAUCAUACUGAUGUACCGGGCCAGGGAAACCCCAUCAAACCGCAUAAUAUUGUUCUCAGAGUAAUCAUCCAGAUGUCACUAUUGCUCGGUUGGUACGUUUAACGACAUGCCAAAUUAAUGGUAAAGCUGCUAUAACUACAUGAUUGCGUGCUCAAUAAUUAUCAACAAAUGCUAUUACUUUUCAGGUAAUAUCGAUUGUGAGAUCGUUUGGCUUUUGACAAUAAAAUGGACAAUAAAAUUCAACGAAGACA
RNAcentral lists this long non-coding RNA (583 nucleotides) under Haliotis rubra (blacklip abalone). RNAcentral's name for it is "uncharacterized LOC124260006, transcript variant X2". Lineage: Eukaryota; Metazoa; Mollusca; Gastropoda; Lepetellida; Haliotidae. The record is from RNAcentral.